AAUAAAUGGAAAGUGAAUGAAGGAAGGGAGGAAGGAAGGAGUAAGGGGCACCCUGGCUACGCCAUCCCCUGGUCCCCUGGGUGCCUCCAGCCUCCCUGAAGGAGGUGGCUGUGUAGAUCCUCCACGGGGUGACCCAGGCCGAGCAGGGUGCCCUGACUCACCCAGGGCAGGUCUUGUGUUGGGUGUCGCUCGCUCCACCCUGACCUUAACCCCAGGGGAAGGAAAGGUGGUGGGAGGAAAGCCCCGCCCACCAGGAUGCCCCGCCCACCCCGACUGCCCCGCCCACCUCACUUCUGAGGUCUUGGUUCUUCUCGCUCCGUCCAUGUGCCCUGCUGUCUUACGGAGGAGGAAGGUGAGAAAGAAGCUCCUGAGAUCUUACAGCUCCUGUGCGGCAGAGCUGGGGUCUGGAGCCCGGUUUCCCGGAUCCCAGUUUUCCGAAGUGUCACGCUACGGUGUCCCAUUCCCCUCUUUGCUCCAGUUGCUAGGGAGCUCAGCCUCCAGGCUGACUCUCAGGGGCCACAUCAGCCUAGGCUUUGGGUCAUAUUUGUGUCAGCCCCAUCCUUAGACUUUCAUCCUCCCUGCCGGGCCUCCCGUGGAGCAGGCCGGACAUAAGUUAUCAACUAUAAAUAAAACCAAGACUUCCGUUCUGGCUCUCACUUUA
Molecule: long non-coding RNA, 661 nt
Organism: Cervus elaphus (red deer)
Lineage: Eukaryota; Metazoa; Chordata; Mammalia; Artiodactyla; Cervidae
Exons: 2
Source: RefSeq, a predicted model, not a curated record